This is a long non-coding RNA of Parus major (Great Tit), 2514 nucleotides long. RefSeq lists it as uncharacterized. Lineage: Eukaryota; Metazoa; Chordata; Aves; Passeriformes; Paridae. The record is from RefSeq and is a predicted model, not a curated record. The transcript has 3 exons.
GAUGUUUUUACCUCUGUGUUAACCAGCAAGUGCUCAAGCCACAUCAUCCAAGUUGCAGAAGGCAAAGCCAGGAACUAGGAGAGUGAAGAACCACCCACUGUAGGAGAAGAUCAGGUUUGAGACCAUUUAAGGAACUUAGAGGUCCAUGGGACCUGAUGAGAUCCAUCCACACGUCCUGAGGGAACUGGCAGACGAAAUGGCUAAGCCUCUAUCCAUGAUACUUAAGAAGUUGUGGCUGUCUGGUGAAGUUGCCACUGUAAAAGAGAAAACAUAACCAGAGGUGUUUGAUAUCUCUUUAGCCAACAGGAGCAGGGGGUUCAGGGGCAUCCUCAUUAAGCUUGCUGAUGACACCAAACCACAUGGUGCAGGUGCCAUGCUGGAGGGAAGGGAUGCCACCCAGAGGGACCUGGAGAGGUAGAUGAGAUGGGCCCAUGUGAACUCAGAAAGUCCAGUAUGGUGAAGAUUAAAGUCCUGCACGUAUUACUGGGUAAUCCCAAGCACAAAUACAGGUUGGGUGGAGAAUGGAGAAGGACUUUGGAGUGUUACUGGAUGAGAAGCCCAGCAUGUCCCAGCCAUGUGUCCUGGAAGCUCGGUUGAUCCCCCAGUGUGGGCAGCAGGGGAGGGAGGGUUUCUUCUGCCUCACUCAGGUGAGACCCACCUGGAACACUGCAUUCAGCUCUGAGGCCCCCAAAAUAGGAACAACAAGGACCUGAUGGAGUUAAUCCAGAUGAUGCUAUGAAGAUGCUUUGAGAGCAUCCUCUACUCUGGAGACAGGCUAGACAUGUUCAGCCUGGUGAAGAGAAGACUCAAGAAGACCUUCUAGCAACCUUCCAGUGUCUAAAAGGGGUUGGAAGUGAGCUGGAGAGGGACUUUUGACAAGGACAAGAGGGAAUGACAUCCCACUGACAGAGAGCAGGUUUAAAUUGGAUAUUAGGAAGACAUUCUUCCCUAGGAGGGUGCUGAGGUCCUGGCAGUUUACCCAGAGCAAACUCUGAAAGUGUUGAAGACCAGACUGUAUGGAGCUUAGAGCAGCCUGGGAUAGUGGAAGGUGUCCCUGGGAAAGGCUGAAUUGGUCUCUGUUUUUUCCUGGUUGGUGAAUUUGGCAGCAGAAGCACGUAGAUGGGAGACAGGCUUUCAGCUGAGUCCGUGGUAUGUUUAUCUUAGCAGAAAUGGAAACAAGGAUCAACUAAGAACUGCAAGUCCUUUUCUGAGCUUGUCUUUUGGAUGUCUGAGCUGAACUUUGUGUUGGUGAACGGUUUUCAAAUUCUGCAGGAGCAGAAAUUUCUGCAGGAAUUUAAAUGUAGACUCUGUAAUGAUCCAUAAUCAUUCCCUGUUGAAAGUAGCAUGAAUAAUCAAAUGGCAUACAUUUCUACAAGCCCAAAUGUUUACCUCAAGGAUUUAUUUUAUUUAUGGUGCAGAUUGACAGGUCACACACUUGGAAAAAAGACAUGGGAAACAACUGAGGUCCUGUCCUGAACUGGCAAUAUGGGUACUUUCUGAUUAAUUAAAACAUCACCAAGAAAAGAAAGAAACAUCUGUUGUUGAGCUGCACUGAUCCACAUAGCAGAAAUCACAGCACCUCUUACAACACUCACCUUAGCGAAAAUUCAUGCACAGGGUUAUAAUAACCCUUCUUGGAGAAUCUCCCACUUCUUUUGCAAUUUCAAGUGUACAGAUUGGUAUAUCUGCACUAAUGUAUGUAUGCUCUUCUUCAUAUAUCAAAAGUGACCUCACAUCUCUCUCUGAGACCCACCCCAGUAGUGCAGCUGCACCCCAGCCUCUUAUUUCUGUGACAAAAUAUUUGUCCCUUAUACUAUCUUGCCCGGUCUAUGACUCUCAGGCACCAGCACUAUCACACUAUCAUAGAGAUUGUUCCUCUGCUUUCAGAAUCCUACCAGCACAUCCGCCAAAUGCUUUUCAUAAUACUUACUUCCCUCUGAGUGGCUUGCCUAAUGUAUUCCUCUUAGGCAUUUCUUGCAGGAUUCACACCAUCACAAGGGAAAGAUAAAAGCUGACAUUCCCAUUGUACAGCUGGGAUAGCUGCAGCACAGACAUACCAAGCAAUCCAUCCCAGGUCGUGCGGUGAGUCGGUGGGAAAGCCAGCAAUAGAAUCCAUAAGUCCUGAAUCCAAGUUCUUUAAGUGCUUUGACUAGUCCAGAUUCCCUCCUUAACACCCUUGUCACAUUAUUUAUAGGAGAUGUAUUCAUAUAGCCACUAAGACAUCAAAAUUUUCUAAUUAUAUCUAGUCAUGUCAAAUGACAAUUAUGCCCUUAGUUCAGUUUGCCAGACAAUGCUUAGCCAAAGAGGGUUUGCCAAAAUAUUUUUGACCGAAGAAAGAGUAGGCAUCUGUAGCAUCUGCAGGCGAGAUCGUAUAAAACGUCCCUGCAACACGUCUGCCCUGGCUCCACAGAAAGCUCCAAGUACUGACCAGCUGCCAGCCCACAAGCCACACAUCUGGUGUCACAAGAGAGUUCUCUGCUGACAAGCCCCUCCAUAAAGUGCAGCCAUGUCUUC